Molecule: ribosomal RNA, 785 nt
Filed under: uncultured bacterium
Lineage: Bacteria
Description: bacterial SSU rRNA
Rfam family: Bacterial small subunit ribosomal RNA
Source: RNAcentral
AGAGUUUGAUCCUGGCUCAGGACGAACGCUGGCGGCGUGCUUAGCACAUGCAAGUCGAACGAAUGAACUUCAGUGGACUUCUUCGGAAAGAAACAGAAAUGAUUUAGUGGCGAACGGGUGAGUAACACGUGAGAAACCUGCCUAUCACAAGGGGAUAGCCUCCGGAAACGGUGAUUAAUACCCUAUGACAUCACAAUAUCGCAUGGUAUAGUGAUCAAAGAUUUAUCGGUGAUAGAUGGUCUUGCGGCUGAUUAGCUAGUUGGUAAGGUAACUGCUUACCAAGGCAACGAUCAGUAUCCGGCUUGAGAGGGUGAACGGACACACUGGAACUGAGACACGGUCCAGACUCCUACGGGAGGCAGCAGUGGGGAAUAUUGCACAAUGGGCGAAAGCCUGAUGCAGCAACGCCGCGUGAGCGAUGAAGGCCUUCGGGUCGUAAAGCUCUGUCCUCAAGGAAGAUAAUGACGGUACUUGAGGAGGAAGCCCCGGCUAACUACGUGCCAGCAGCCCCGGUAAUACGUAGGGGGCUAGCGUUAUCCGGAAUUACUGGGCGUAAAGGGUGCGUAGGUGGUUUCUUAAAUCAGAGGUGAAAGGCUACGGCUCCAACCGAAGUAAGCCUUUGAACUGGGAAACUUUGAGUGCAGGAAAGGAAAGGUGGGAAUCCUAGGGUACCGGGGAAAUGCGUAAAAAAUUAGGAGGAACCCCAUUUUGCAAAGGCGGCUCUCGGGACGGAAACUGAACCUGAGGGCCCAAAACCGGGGGGGACCAAACAGGAAUAAAAACCC